Molecule: ribosomal RNA, 234 nt
Filed under: uncultured bacterium
Lineage: Bacteria
Description: partial 16S ribosomal RNA
Rfam family: Bacterial small subunit ribosomal RNA
Source: RNAcentral
CGACGGGUGGAGUAAUACAUCGGAACGUGUCUUCUAGUGGGGGAUAACUGCCCGAAAGGACGAGCUAAUACCGCAUGAGACCUGAGGGUGAAAGCGGGGGAGUCGCAAGACCUCGCGCUGGAAGAGCGGCAGAUGUCCGAUUAGCUAGUUGGUGAGGUAAAGGCUCACCAAGGCGACGAUCGGUAGCUGGUCUGAGAGGGCGACCGGCCACAUUGGGACUGAGACACGGCCCAA